CCCCGCUCGAUCUCCACCUGGUCCGUCUCGUCGGCGGCGAGUUGCUGGUGUGAAACCCCUGCAGGGUUAUGCUGGUCGGUUGGGGUAGUUGGGGAGGUCCGUCGACGGCAUGGGCGAACGGAUCGACGCUACCGAGGUGGGGACAGACGGGGUGAGAUGGGUCCUUCGCCGUCGCGGCCCUGCGAAUCGACGCGUCCGAGGCGGCGGCGGGGUAGCAGGGGUCGCUGAACGAGAUGCGCCUGCUCAGCCUCGCGAAUCGACACGGCCGAGGCUGUUGGACGUGCUUCAAGGUGUCCCUAACAGAGUUUCAGCGGCGUGGUUCUGUUCAUAAAAAACUCGGCUUUCUACUUCACUGCGCACUCAUGUCGCUUGCAAUUGCAGUGAGCAUAACCUGAAGGAUCUCAUACAUGUCAGUUGUGAGUGGUGGUACAAAGUUUGGAUCUCACGAACUUUGUGAAAUACAAGAUGCUCUUUUGUUUAUUGCUUUCACAGUAAACCAUUUUAUACAUCCUGGAUCUUCUUUUUUCCUGCUCCAGAGCGUAUAUCAUAUCAGUUCUUCCUA
Lolium rigidum is the source of this 562-nucleotide long non-coding RNA. RefSeq lists it as uncharacterized. Lineage: Eukaryota; Viridiplantae; Streptophyta; Magnoliopsida; Poales; Poaceae. The record is from RefSeq and is a predicted model, not a curated record. The transcript is spliced from 2 exons.